RNAcentral lists this long non-coding RNA (1911 nucleotides) under Danio rerio (zebrafish). Its description in RNAcentral is "si:dkey-85k7.8 (ENSDARG00000102693.2)". The record is from RNAcentral. Lineage: Eukaryota; Metazoa; Chordata; Actinopteri; Cypriniformes; Danionidae.
GGAGGAGUCAGGUGAUAAAAACCUCCAUUGUUCCCCCCAACAACUGCAAUGACUAGAUCAACCACUAGAUGGCAAUCCUACAAGCGGUACCUUUAAGUUACACCUGAGGUUAAAAUCUAAGGAUGUGGAAAAAGUAUUUGACCUUUAGAGAAUGCACGUGCGCAAAUUUGUCGCGUCAUAGUAUGGUGUAUUACCUGAGUUGGCGGACGCGGGUUUUGUGAUGGUCGGUGAAAAACUACAGCUCGUGCUCCCAGAUCGCUGUCCACAACAGCCUCCUGCCAGACCACAAUGCUGGGUAGCUGGAAGGUUCUUGUAGACGGCGCGACUGUAUGGGAUAAAGCACAGCCCCAGCUGAAGGUGUCGAGCUAGCCGGCAGUACGCAGCCAAUGCCAGAACCAGAAGAGGAGUCACUAGCAAGAAACCCACAACCAGCAGAGCCACACAACCCCCGUCAGUCAGCAGGUCCGAGCAGUAUGGUAUAGAACCAUGUGGACGCACCUGAAAAGAGAGAGAGAGAAACAUCUGAUUGGUGUGGAGCUGUGUGGUGUGAAGGAUGAGCACAGGAAUACAUUCCUGAGGAGGACGCAAGAGAAAUGAAGGGUCCCUGAAGGAAUGAGUCUCUGACGUGUGGACAGACAGAACCGAUACACUGGACAAGAAAGUCUGCUGAAAACUCGCAUGCUCAGUUGAAGAUGAUGCCAUCAUGUGAUGAACGUGUGGUGGCGUUUGAAGACAUAAGUGGAGCACAUACCCUCUUGACAGUUUUGGAGAUUCACGUACCCAUCAUCGUCUACUUUAUGAAUCAUUGGAAUGGUCUUCUUUUUAUCAAAGGAGGAAAUCGCAUGGAUGUUUAAUGCUAACAAACUUUUUUUGCUCUUACCGUUGAAUGACAGAGAAAGCCGAACACCACCAUGACGAUAGCAGGAGUGAGGAUUAGCCCGAAGACCAGUCCAGCCAGGCAAGCAUUGAUGGCGGCGAUCAGCAGGUUUUGUGCAGUGACCAGCACCGAACAGGCCCAGCAGUCCAAAGAGCCCCGCAGCUCCAGCGGCGCUUCACUUCCGCCAGCCUCUGGGGAGUAAGGUGGAGGCACGACCACUGCAGAACCACCUACUGCAGUCCCGGCUGGCAGGGUUGAGGCCAAAGAGUUGGUAUGCUGGAGAUUGGGGUGAUGGUGCUGGUGGUGAUGACUGAUGCUUGGGAGCUCUUCAGAGAGGUCGAUGGUCUGGUGAUGAGCCCCCUUCUCCAGCGUGUCGUUCAUACUCAUCCUGAUCUGAAAAUGGUUUCAUCAUCACCACAAAGGUGCAGUGAAUCAGGUGCCAGCACCUGAUGGCGGCUUGCCGGCUUGUUUGUGAAGACAAUUUUAACUGGAAUGGAACGUUGUUCGGAGAGCCUCCUCUCUCCUGGCUUGUUUAUUUUGUGAAGUAAAAACUGUGUUGUAUUUACUCGCGAAAUUGUUGAAAGUGAAUGCUGAGUGUUGAAUUUGAGAUAUAUUCAGAGCCAGUGUGCUGAGGACAGUGCCUUUUUUGUUUUAUUACAUUUUCUCAUGUUUUUUGGUCAGGAAGGUAAGUGAAUUUUAUUAAGUUUAUUGUGCUAGUAAGGGGGUUAAAAUGUUAUUAGUUGUUUUUUUUGUUGUUGUUGUUAUUUUGGCAUUUACCUCUCCAAUUUCCUUUGAAGUUAAACGGCAAAUAAAUUUGACUUAUUUCUUUGCUCAAUCAUCUUUGUUGUUGUUUUUCCUUUUGAACAGGAGUUAAGACUCUGGGCUCCUCACUAAUUUAGAGGUAUCCUAAUUAUUUUAUUUUAAUUUGUUUUCUGGCUUGCUGUGUGGAGCCAUGCAAAGUUAGAAUUCAUAACAUUAUUCAAAUAAAAUGGUCUAUUGUUGCACAAACAUGCGAGCGUUUUAAGACUUUUCCC